CUCUGAAAUCCAAGAUCGAGGUUCCCAAUAACGAUUCUAAGCGAGGUGAAAACAAGAUAUCUUCUACCAAGCUGGGUCAAUCAAGCAGGAUAUCAAAUGUACAGUCCACUAAGAGUCAUCGUGAGCAGUCAGUAGUAUCCAAAGCAAGUACUAAGUAUCAAAGAAAAAGGUUGGAAGCGCAAUUGAAAGCUGAUGAAGAGUUGGCAAGUUUAUUGAAUAAGCAGAUGGAAAUGGAAAAAAAGCUGAUAGAGGAUAGGUUGACUUUAGAACAGACAAAAUUAGAAGAACAAUAUGACGCAGUAAGUGAUGAUAUGCAGUUUAAAGACAGAAAAGAAUUGUAUUCUCAAGAUUCUUAUGAAAAGGUAGGUGAUUGGCUUACAAACAAAGUGAGAGUUGAUCGAUUUUCUGAUGAAAAAUCAGAUAAAAAGUCUUCAAAAAUGUCACACUCAUGUCAUAGUCAAUGUCAGUGUCACAUAGUUCAACCGAAAAAUGAUGUUAAUUUAGAUAUUUCAAGUAAUGAAAGUGUAUCAGGUCAUGAAAUUAAAAUGCUUUUAGCAAGGCAGGCAAUUGAAAAAGAUUUACCCAUAUUUAGCGGUGAAAUAACAGAGUGGCCAAGUUUCUACCAACAGUAUAUUUUCACGACAAAAAUGUUGGGUUUGUCAAGUGAAGAAAAUAUGUGGUGUGUUGAAGGUUUACUGUUGUCCGCUUCAUCGAUGAGGUUUCCAAUUGGGUUGUUACACUUGAAGCCAUGGAAAUGACGAAUUAUUUGAGCUGUCCGCAGUUACUUGAUGAAAUGCUACAGAAGUUACCAUUUUCAAUGCAAAUGUCCUGGGGAGAAAAGGCAGCAAAGGCAAGAGGUCAAAACACUUGGACUUCAAGAAUUGGAUUUGGGAAAAGGCAGAAGCUGCCAGCUAUGUUCAAUCAAUUGUGAAUAUUAUAACAAGUUGCUUCGAGUUACAGCCUAUAUGUUUCGAUUUAUCGAAAACAUGAAGAAAAAGGGAAGAGGUUUGGAGAAACAGAAACUCACAUGGCAAGAACUUCAGAAAGCGGAGAGAGUAUGGUGCAUGAAGGUUCAGAAGAAUUGCUUCUCAGAGGAAGUGAAAUCAUUAAAAAAGACAAACGAGGUACUGAAAAGUAUGGGCGUCGAACGUCUCUUUUCUAAUCAAAUAUCAGAAUCUCCAAUAACCCCGAGGUGUCGAAGUGUGAACAGCAGCAUGGAUUACCGAUAUUACGUCCCGGAAUAAUUGAGGCCAUCAAUGGCAUCGGAAGAGGGAUAAGCAUACAUACAGCGUAAUCCGGCCAGACUAAGGCCUUUGUAGCAGCCAGGCUAUACAAACCGACUAUUGCACCGACACCUCUGAAAGCGCUGAUAAGUACACAUUAUUACGUCGGUUAUUACGUUCUGGAUUAUAUUGUGAGCUUGCCAGAGAGGCUUAUCCAGAUGAGAAUUAUUGUAUUCUGGCUUAUGAUGUAGAUGAAUAUUGCUACUUUUCUUCAUAAAUUGGA
Leptinotarsa decemlineata (Colorado potato beetle) is the source of this 1506-nucleotide long non-coding RNA. Lineage: Eukaryota; Metazoa; Arthropoda; Insecta; Coleoptera; Chrysomelidae. The record is from RefSeq and is a predicted model, not a curated record.